This 497-nucleotide ribosomal RNA is filed under the name uncultured bacterium. RNAcentral's name for it is "partial 16S ribosomal RNA". It matches the Rfam family "Bacterial small subunit ribosomal RNA", at positions 28 to 507 of the family's 1533-position model. The record is from RNAcentral.
GAUGAACGCUGGCGGCGUGCCUAAUACAUGCAAGUCGAGCGAACGGACGAGAAGCUUGCUUCUCUGAUGUUAGCGGCGGACGGGUGAGUAACACGUGGAUAACCUACCUAUAAGACUGGGAUAACUUCGGGAAACCGGAGCUAAUACCGGAUGAUAUUUUGAACCGCAUGGUUCAAAAGUGAAAGACGGUCUUGCUGUCACUUAUAGAUGGAUCCGCGCUGCAUUAGCUAGUUGGUAAGGUAACGGCUUACCAAGGCAACGAUGCAUAGCCGACCUGAGAGGGUGAUCGGCCACACUGGAACUGGGACCCGGUCCAGACUCCUACGGGAGGCAGCAGUAGGGAAUCUUCCGCCAUGGGCGAAAGCCUGACGGAGCAACGCCGCGUGAGUUAUGAAGGUCUUCGGAUCGUAAAACUCUGUUAUUAGGGAAGAACAUAUGUGUAAGUAACUGUGCACAUCUUGACGGUACCUAAUCAGAAAGCCACGGCUAACUACGUG